UGAACGCUAGCUACAGGCUUAACACAUGCAAGUCGAGGGGCAGCAUGGUCUUAGCUUGCUAAGGCCGAUGGCGACCGGCGCACGGGUGAGUAACACGUAUCCAACCUGCCGUCUACUCUUGGACAGCCUUCUGAAAGGAAGAUUAAUACAAGAUGGCAUCAUGAGUCCGCAUGUUCACAUGAUUAAAGGUAUUCCGGUAGACGAUGGGGAUGCGUUCCAUUAGAUAGUAGGCGGGGUAACGGCCCACCUAGUCUUCGAUGGAUAGGGGUUCUGAGAGGAAGGUCCCCCACAUUGGAACUGAGACACGGUCCAAACUCCUACGGGAGGCAGCAGUGAGGAAUAUUGGUCAAUGGGCGAGAGCCUGAACCAGCCAAGUAGCGUGAAGGACGACUGCCCUAUGGGUUGUAAACUUCUUUUAUAAAGGAAUAAAGUCGGGUAUGGAUACCCGUUUGCAUGUACUUUAUGAAUAAGGAUCGGCUAACUCCGUG
RNAcentral lists this ribosomal RNA (488 nucleotides) under uncultured bacterium. Its description in RNAcentral is "partial 16S ribosomal RNA". It matches the Rfam family "Bacterial small subunit ribosomal RNA", at positions 30 to 507 of the family's 1533-position model. The record is from RNAcentral.